CGGUCUCAGUUCGGAUUGAAGGCUGAAAUUCGCCUUCAUGAAGCUGGAAUUGCUAGUAAUGGCAGGUCAGCAUACUGCCGUGAAUACGUUCCCGGGCCUUGUACACACCGCCCGUCACACCAUGAGAGUUGGGAAUACCCGAAGUCCGUAGUCUAACCGCAAGGGGGCGCGGCCGAAGGUGGGUCCGGUAAUUGGGGUGAAGUCGUAACAAGGUAGC
RNAcentral lists this ribosomal RNA (217 nucleotides) under uncultured bacterium. RNAcentral describes it as "partial 16S ribosomal RNA". It matches the Rfam family "Bacterial small subunit ribosomal RNA", at positions 1283 to 1500 of the family's 1533-position model. The record is from RNAcentral.